GGGUAUAUGAUGACAAACUAGUGACAUGAAUAUAGGUGAUGACAUAAAAAUCAUGUUCAAUAGGACUAUGCUGAGUCCC
This is a small nucleolar RNA of Mesocricetus auratus (golden hamster), 79 nucleotides long. Its record names the gene SNORD115. It matches the Rfam family "Small nucleolar RNA SNORD115". From Rfam's summary of the family: HBII-52 is a member of the C/D class of snoRNAs, which contain the C (UGAUGA) and D (CUGA) box motifs. HBII-52 is encoded in a tandemly repeated array with another C/D snoRNA, HBII-85, in the Prader-Willi syndrome (PWS) region of chromosome 15. The record is from Ensembl. NCBI's taxonomy places the organism in Eukaryota, Metazoa, Chordata, Mammalia, Rodentia, Cricetidae.